RNAcentral lists this ribosomal RNA (2904 nucleotides) under Citrobacter freundii. Its description in RNAcentral is "bacterial LSU rRNA". It matches the Rfam family "Bacterial large subunit ribosomal RNA". The record is from RNAcentral. Lineage: Bacteria; Pseudomonadati; Pseudomonadota; Gammaproteobacteria; Enterobacterales; Enterobacteriaceae.
UUAAGCGACUAAGCGUACACGGUGGAUGCCCUGGCAGUCAGAGGCGAUGAAGGACGUGCUAAUCUGCGAUAAGCGUCGGUAAGGUGAUAUGAACCGUUAUAACCGGCGAUUUCCGAAUGGGGAAACCCAGUGCAAUUCGUUGCACUAUUAUUACGUGAAUACAUAGCGUAAUGAAGCGAACCGGGGGAACUGAAACAUCUAAGUACCCCGAGGAAAAGAAAUCAACCGAGAUUCCCCCAGUAGCGGCGAGCGAACGGGGAGCAGCCCAGAGUCUGAAUCAGCUUGUGUGUUAGUGGAACGGUCUGGAAAGUCCGACGGUACAGGGUGAUAGUCCCGUACACCAAAAUGCACAGGUUGUGAACUCGAAGAGUAGGGCGGGACACGUGGUAUCCUGUCUGAAUAUGGGGGGACCAUCCUCCAAGGCUAAAUACUCCUGACUGACCGAUAGUGAACCAGUACCGUGAGGGAAAGGCGAAAAGAACCCCGGCGAGGGGAGUGAAAAAGAACCUGAAACCGUGUACGUACAAGCAGUGGGAGCCUCUUUAUGGGGUGACUGCGUACCUUUUGUAUAAUGGGUCAGCGACUUAUAUUCUGUAGCAAGGUUAACCGAAUAGGGGAGCCGAAGGGAAACCGAGUCUUAACUGGGCGUUAAGUUGCAGGGUAUAGACCCGAAACCCGGUGAUCUAGCCAUGGGCAGGUUGAAGGUUGGGUAACACUAACUGGAGGACCGAACCGACUAAUGUUGAAAAAUUAGCGGAUGACUUGUGGCUGGGGGUGAAAGGCCAAUCAAACCGGGAGAUAGCUGGUUCUCCCCGAAAGCUAUUUAGGUAGCGCCUCGUGAACUCAUCUUCGGGGGUAGAGCACUGUUUCGGCUAGGGGGUCAUCCCGACUUACCAACCCGAUGCAAACUGCGAAUACCGAAGAAUGUUAUCACGGGAGACACACGGCGGGUGCUAACGUCCGUCGUGAAGAGGGAAACAACCCAGACCGCCAGCUAAGGUCCCAAAGUCAUGGUUAAGUGGGAAACGAUGUGGGAAGGCACAGACAGCCAGGAUGUUGGCUUAGAAGCAGCCAUCAUUUAAAGAAAGCGUAAUAGCUCACUGGUCGAGUCGGCCUGCGCGGAAGAUGUAACGGGGCUAAACCAUGCACCGAAGCUGCGGCAGCGACACUAUGUGUUGUUGGGUAGGGGAGCGUUCUGUAAGCCGUUGAAGGUGGCCUGUGAGGGUUGCUGGAGGUAUCAGAAGUGCGAAUGCUGACAUAAGUAACGAUAAUGCGGGUGAAAAACCCGCACGCCGGAAGACCAAGGGUUCCUGUCCAACGUUAAUCGGGGCAGGGUGAGUCGACCCCUAAGGCGAGGCCGAAAGGCGUAGUCGAUGGGAAACAGGUUAAUAUUCCUGUACUUGGUGUUACUGCGAAGGGGGGACGGAGAAGGCUAUGUUGGCCGGGCGACGGUUGUCCCGGUUUAAGCGUGUAGGUGUGUGUUCCAGGUAAAUCCGGAAUGCUUUAACACUGAGGCGUGAUGACGAGGCACCACGGUGCUGAAGUGACAAAUGCCCUGCUUCCAGGAAAAGCCUCUAAGCAUCAGGUAACACGAAAUCGUACCCCAAACCGACACAGGUGGUCAGGUAGAGAAUACCAAGGCGCUUGAGAGAACUCGGGUGAAGGAACUAGGCAAAAUGGUGCCGUAACUUCGGGAGAAGGCACGCUGAUAUGUAGGUGAAGUGAUUUACUCAUGGAGCUGAAAUCAGUCGAAGAUACCAGCUGGCUGCAACUGUUUAUUAAAAACACAGCACUGUGCAAACACGAAAGUGGACGUAUACGGUGUGACGCCUGCCCGGUGCCGGAAGGUUAAUUGAUGGGGUUAUCCGUAAGGAGAAGCUCUUGAUCGAAGCCCCGGUAAACGGCGGCCGUAACUAUAACGGUCCUAAGGUAGCGAAAUUCCUUGUCGGGUAAGUUCCGACCUGCACGAAUGGCGUAAUGAUGGCCAGGCUGUCUCCACCCGAGACUCAGUGAAAUUGAACUCGCUGUGAAGAUGCAGUGUACCCGCGGCAAGACGGAAAGACCCCGUGAACCUUUACUAUAGCUUGACACUGAACACUGGUCCUUGAUGUGUAGGAUAGGUGGGAGGCUUUGAAGUGUGGACGCCAGUCUGCAUGGAGCCGACCUUGAAAUACCACCCUUUAAUGGCUGGUGUUCUAACGUGGGCCCGUGAUCCGGGUUGCGGACAGUGUCUGGUGGGUAGUUUGACUGGGGCGGUCUCCUCCCAAAGAGUAACGGAGGAGCACGAAGGUUAGCUAAUCCUGGUCGGACAUCAGGAGGUUAGUGCAAAGGCAUAAGCUAGCUUGACUGCGAGAGUGACGGCUCGAGCAGGUGCGAAAGCAGGUCUUAGUGAUCCGGUGGUUCUGAAUGGAAGGGCCAUCGCUCAACGGAUAAAAGGUACUCCGGGGAUAACAGGCUGAUACCGCCCAAGAGUUCAUAUCGACGGCGGUGUUUGGCACCUCGAUGUCGGCUCAUCACAUCCUGGGGCUGAAGUAGGUCCCAAGGGUAUGGCUGUUCGCCAUUUAAAGUGGUACGCGAGCUGGGUUUAGAACGUCGUGAGACAGUUCGGUCCCUAUCUGCCGUGGGCGCUGGAGAAUUGAGGGGGGCUGCUCCUAGUACGAGAGGACCGGAGUGGACGCAUCACUGGUGUUCGGGUUGUCAUGCCAAUGGCACUGCCCGGUAGCUAAAUGCGGAAGAGAUAAGUGCUGAAAGCAUCUAAGCACGAAACUUGCCCCGAGAUGAGUUCUCCCUGACCCUUUAAGGGUCCUGAAGGAACGUUGAAGACGACGACGUUGAUAGGCCGGGUGUGUAAGCGCAGCGAUGCGUUGAGCUAACCGGUACUAAUGAACCGUGAGGCUUAACCUU